RNAcentral lists this ribosomal RNA (344 nucleotides) under uncultured bacterium. RNAcentral describes it as "bacterial SSU rRNA". It matches the Rfam family "Bacterial small subunit ribosomal RNA", at positions 8 to 349 of the family's 1533-position model. The record is from RNAcentral.
AGAGUUUGAUCCUGGCUCAGGAUGAACGCUAGCUACAGGCUUAACACAUGCAAGUCGAGGGGCAGCAUGUUGGUUGCUUGCAACCAACGAUGGCGACCGGCGCACGGGUGAGUAACGCGUAUCCAACCUACCCUUGUCCAUCGGAUAACCCGUCGAAAGGCGGCCUAACACGAUAUGCGGUUCACAGCAGGCAUCUAACGUGAACGAAAUGUAAAGGAGAAGGAUGGGGAUGCGUCUGAUUAGCUUGUUGGCGGGGUAACGGCCACAAGGCGACGAUCAGUAGGGUUCUGAGAGGAACGGUCCCCACAUUGGAACUGAGACACGGUCCAAACUCUACGGGAGCA